GGGGCACGGUGCGGGGCGGGGCGGGGAAGGGAAAUAAGAUACUGCGAUGCUGGUGAUCAACUUGAAGGUGAGGGAAAUGUUUAUUAUAGACUGCUUCUUGUGCGUGAGGCUGACAGGCAUAACACAAGUGCAGGCUUUGAAGGUAGAGGUUCAGGGGGUGAGGCGAGAAUAGCAGCAAAGAAUUGUGUUUGUGUCUAGAUAUUUAUGUGUGUGUGUGUGUGUGGUGUGUGUGUUGUCAGUGGAGAUAUGUGCAUGUGUGUAAGGUGUGUGUGUGCAUGUGUAUGUAGUGUGUGUGUGCAUGUGUUUGUGGUGUGUUAUAUGUAUGUGUGUUGUCAGUGAGUGUGUGUGUGUGUGUGUGUGUGUGUGUGUGUGUGUAUGUGUGUGUUUGUGUGUGUGUGUUGUGUGAGAUGGGGUAAGGCUGUGUGUAUUAGGCCUACAAGAACCUCGGCGUGCCAGAGUAGGCCUAUGGGGUGGCGGUGUGCUCGUGGCCCGAGGUGGAGACACUGUGCUGCUUGUGGUGGUGCUUGGUGGACGCCCGUGUGAGGAUGAUGGUAAUUUGAAAUGGGGAGCAGAGGAGGGCGUUUCAGAGUUGUGUUCUGCGUCGCGACCACCAUGGCACUGCCGCAGGAUUCCCGCUGCCAUUUCACCCAAAACUUGAGCUCUCUGGAUGCUAAAUACGCAGAGAAAUUACCUUCAUCCCCAAAAUCGCACUCGUUUGGAAUUUGGAAAUUGCCGGGGUGUGAAAAUUCGACUUCAUAGGCUCGUCGGCGUGGCGCGGGUGUGUGUUUUUGUGACCAGGGUGGGGCGCUUGGCCCAGGGAAGGCGCCCAGGGGUAUUAAGUGCAUUAUUCGUGCAUCAGAGGGCCCCCCCAGUCCAAAUUCAUGUGGGUUUCGGGGGGUAGGAGAGAGGCGAGGCUGGGCUGUCUCUGGGCCACAUCACCUCAUCCCCCUCUAGACUGGAUGCUGCCCGGCCACCCGAUCUUCCCCUCGCCUUCGCCCCGUGUCGCCCCGCAGCGGACCACACCUCGGACCAGCCUCGCACCCGCCAGCCCCGCCCCGCAAGCUUGGGGUUCACUUUUAUCGUACUGUGGAGUGAUGGAAAGUGUGAAGCACGGACGGCGAGGGUCUGGAGUGAUGUGCGGAAGGCAGCAGGGCGGCGGCAGGCUGGAGAAGGGAGGGGCGGCUGAACGAUGGUUGUGGGCGAGACAAUUUCCCCGAGCAGCGGCAGCCUCCUCAAGGUCCUCUGACGUAUUCACAUUCCAAAAUGGCGGAAAGGAGGCGCAGGCUCUGGCAGUGCACAGGUGUGUUGGUGCGUGGGUGGCGCCCCUCUCCCCACCGCCGCCGCCCCCGUGAGUCGACCCCGUGGUGCCUGAUGAAAUGAUCGUGAUGAUGCAGCCUCCGUGUCCCGAGUGAAGACGUCCGGCCUCGCGCCACGCCCUUGGGUGAGUUACGCCCCGGCUUUGUUUUUUUGGGUGAGAGGAAGGUGAGAUGAGGGGAGGCUCAUGGGAAGAGGUUGAGGAGAGAGAGAGAGAGAGAGAGAGAGAGAGAGAGAGAGAGAGAGAGAGAGAGAGAGAGAGAGAGAGGAUGUGAGUCUGGAGAAGAAGAGGGAGAUGAUGAUGGAGAAUAGAGGUUAAAUAGGAUGAGGGGAGAGGAAGGAUGAGAGAGAGAGAGAGAGAGAGAGAGAGAGAGAGAGAGAGAGAGAGAGAGAGAGAGAGAGAGAGAGAGAGAGAGAUUAUGGUUGUGACUGCCUUCCCUGCUGCAUCAUCACCAUCGGCCUGACCACAAGGUAAGUCUCUGUCGCUCAUAUCAAUAAAAAGUCUCCAUCUCUGGUAAGGACCACUCGUGUUUUCAGGCAGCAGAGGUGAUCAGACGCGUUCCUGUGAUGUUUUCCUUGUCAACGAUGCAGAAUCCUUGGAAGAAUACCUGUAGAAUGAAUAAAACUCUUUUGAAAACUCCGAUUUUCUUAGAGUUAAACAGGUACUUAACCCUUUCACUGCGACCUGCAACAAUUCACGACACAAAAAGCGAUGUAUGAAAUCUCUAUUCUAUUCACAAGAAAGAAAAGGAAGAAAAAGAAUAUAUUUUACAGUUUCUAGCCGAUGUGAUGUUUGGACGUGGCUGCAGGACGAUAAGAAAUGUAUGCCCCAGAAUGAUUAUUGAUUAAGGAAUGACGUGCCAAGGAGCAGUAGAUGGGUUAAGAUGAGGGGCAGGGGUGUAGGAAUGUCGCACGAGGCAAGGUGUCGCCCGGUGCAUCCCCACACCCACCCUGCCUCAAAUGCCCAUCAACGUGUAUUAAGGGAUAGCAAAGAACUUUAGAAUCAUUUGAUUGCGGGAGGCGAGGCUAUGGUUGUGGUGGUGGUGGUGGUAGUGCCGCGUUCACUCCGGGCGCCACGCGUGAGUCACGGUGGAGGUGAUAGGCGAGACGCGGGAAUCCACCUCGUCAGCCAGUUUGUGGAGUUUCAUCGUCUCAUUUUUCCCCGAACGCAUGCGGGUGUGGUGGAUGAUGAUGCGCCGCAGUAUUAUGUCCACUGUGCCUCGGGACUCAACACCGCUGAGCCGAGCUUUACCUGGGGCCGCGCCUGUCUGGCCUCUCUGUGCCUCACGUGGCCCUCAUGUCAGCUCCACGCACAGAGAGCCUAAUGAUUUUUCUUGUCUUCAAACGAGGACUUGCCGAACGAUUUUUUUUUCUUUUUAAGGAGAUUACGUACAAUAAAAUCAGUGUCUCCCCUCCUUGGUAAUGCUUCUUAAUGUUUUUACAGAGAGAGAGAGAGAGAGAGAGAGAGAGAGAGAGAGAGAGAGAGAGAGAGAGAGAGAGAGAGAGAGAGAGAGAGGGGUGUAUGCGUUAGGGGGAAAUUAAAAAUUCAUCUUGACACAUGUGUAUGGUAGGCAGGUGUGGCGACAGAUGUUACUAGCUAGUGUGUGUGUGUGUGUGUGUGUGUGUGUGUGUGUGUGUGUGUGUGUGUGAUGUAAUAGAGUGUAUGACGGGUAUGGUGUACGGCGGGCGCAGUUUACGUACCUCACCAGGGCGUCAAGGCGGAUGUCGUGCGGUGGAUACUAGUGCAGUGCGUUGUCCAGGGCGCGGUGAGUGUGUCAGGCGUUUUGUGUGCUGGGGGGUUCACUAAGCCCACUGCAUCGGGUGUCAUUCCUGCGUGGAGGUGCCUUUUUUUAAAGGGAGGGAAAAUGUACAAGUCACAUUAUUAUGCGUGAUAUUUUUGAAGAGAGAGAGAGAGAGAGAGAGAGAGAGAGAGAGAGAGAGAGAGAGAGAGAGAGAGAGAGAGAGGCUCUAACUCGCACCUUUUAGGAGGCCCGCCAGGCGCCGGGACACACGUGGCACAUUUCAUUGGUGUCCAGUAGUGACAUUACAUCGCACUGUAAUUAGGUAUAAAAUUAUUUUCUCAAUUAGCAACAUUACUGUAUAUAUGUAUAUACGUAUGUAUGUAUGUAUGUAUGUAGGCAGGUAAAUGUGGGCGGGGAAUCGUGCAUGAUCGUCACUUCACGUCACGUGUAACGGGACUUCCUAAUGACAGUUCCUCGUCACUGAUCAUUAUUCACUAUCACCUGCAGCAUACUUUUUAACUAUUCUUAUUAGCGCUCCUCUCUGUAAUGCACUUUAACAUGUAGGAUUCUUUCCUGCAAGUAGGAUCUCACUUGUCUUUUUGAUGUAAAUAUAGUCAUAAUUGUGAAUAUGUUCAUGUAAUUGUGUGUGCGGCCAACCCACAAACAUGUCAGCUGUCAGCGUGAGUGAGGCGCCACUCGUCUCUGUGGUGAGUGGCGGCUGGGUGGUGCAGGGCUGGUGGCGAGGCGACACACAAGCAGUGUUCUGUCACCCCCUGUCUCUGGUUUCUCAAAACUGUGUAAAUAUUUGAAUAUAUGAUUUUAGUAGCAUUUACAUCUUGAAUUCACCAGAAUACCAUAUAAAUUCAAUGUGAGUGACUUUAUUCCUACAAUAAAGAGGUAAGGAAUAAUAAAAAAUAAAUAAAUAAAUAGGUCCAAGUAAUACAUUACAAACAUCUCUCUCUCUCUCUCUCUCUCUCUCUCUCUCUCUCUCUCUCUCUCUCUCUCUCUCUCUCUCUCUCUCUGUCUCU
Long non-coding RNA from Scylla paramamosain (green mud crab), 4084 nucleotides. RefSeq lists it as uncharacterized. The record is from RefSeq and is a predicted model, not a curated record. Lineage: Eukaryota; Metazoa; Arthropoda; Malacostraca; Decapoda; Portunidae. The transcript is spliced from 3 exons.